Molecule: ribosomal RNA, 21 nt
Filed under: Heterodermia flabellata
Lineage: Eukaryota; Fungi; Ascomycota; Lecanoromycetes; Caliciales; Physciaceae
Description: partial 28S ribosomal RNA
Source: RNAcentral
UUGACCUCGGAUCAGGUAUGG